CAGCGGGCACGGCUUUUGUUGUUGUUUGCACGGUUUUUGCUAUUCGCGUCGCUCUUCUUUGUGGUUAGCUUUGAAGGUGCGCUUUACCACCUCUUCUGAAUUCCCUCUUUUUUCUUUUUGGCGUCCGUGGUACUUCGUCGAGCCCUUCUAGCUGGUGCACGAUUAUUCAUUUCCGCUUGCUUCUCCAAGCAUCUUCAGUCGCAAGCAUGUGUGACGAAGCGUUUAUUCUUCAGGCAGACGGACGGGCGCACACCUCUGAUGUUCGCUUUGUCAGCUCCUCACCUCAUGAUCCGUCGGCUGUCUUCACAGCGUCGCGCGACAACACAGCGAAGUUGUCCACUGUUCCGACGUCAGGGGACACUGUAGAGGACGGUCUGACCUUUGUUGGUCAUACCGCGUUUGUCAACUACGUUCUAUUUCAUCCUGGUGUAGAGCUUCUGGAUCACGAGUCGUGCGUUGUCACCGGAUCAAAUGAUAAGCAUGUGGCACUGUGGAAUGCCGAGUCGUCCGCGGUAGAAGCCGUGUUAGAUGGGCACAACAGUGGCGCUUGUUGCGGUGCCAUCAUGCAUUUCACUCCCGGCAGUGUCGACACAGAGGUGGAGGAUGCGCUUGCUGGCGAUAUUAUUUCUGGUGAUUGGGGUGGGAUGAUCCUUAUUUUCGAUCACAAAAGUGGACAGCCGAAACAACUUUACGACAAGCACGCCACGGCCAUCCGUGGUGUGGCGCAACUGACAAACACCUCGACAAUCGUGUCUGGCUCUGGCGACAAGACGAUUCACGCCUGGGAUGCUUUGACGGGAAGGACCAUACAGAUUUUCUUUGGUCACCGGGAUGUUGUGCAGUGCAUUUGUGCGGUCGACAGCACCCGCUUCGCGUCGGCAGGGAACGAUUGCACGGUACGAUUGUGGAGCAUCGGCACUGACUGUUCUCUUCAAGUAUUGGACGGCCAUGACUCACUGAUCUACUCCAUCAGUUGGUCUCCUGCUCUGUCAGAGCUGUACACUGCCUCGGAAGAUCGCACAGUGCGCGUAUGGCGUUCAAGCAGCGCUGAUGGUAAGCUGUUCACCGUGCAAGUCAUUCAGCACCCCUGCGUCGUGUGGAGUGUGGCGCCAACAUCGGACGGCAGGCUGCUCUCUGGUGGUUCAGAUCAUACCGUGCGCGUAUGGACCCGCGACUAUGGCCACAUGGCGUCCAUCGAGAAGCUGGAAGCCUUGGAGACGGCGGUCUCCUCCCAGACUGUGGAUGUCAAAAUCGCCAAAUCCAGCAGCGCUGCUGCCGCCAGUGGCGGCCUCGAUGUGGAGUCGAUGCCGUUCACGCACGAGAUUGCGCAGCGCCGCGGCACGCUGGAGGGCGAACGCCUCUUCGCCCGCAAUGAGAAGGGCGAGGUGGAGUUAUAUGUGUGGAGUGCCGCCAGUGGGAGAAGAUCGGUGUUGUCGUUGCAGGGCCAGACGCUCAGCACUACACAGGCGCUUCGGAGCAACAACGCGAGAAGCACUUCUACAACGGGCAAUCGUACGAUUACCUUUUCGACGUGAAUGUUGAGGGUCGCAUGCUGAAGCUGCCCUACAAUGUCGGUGACAGUGUUGUAGAGACGGCAAAGCGCUUCAUCCAGGACCACUCUGGCGUUGUUGCGCAAGACUCACAGGAGGAGAUUCAAAACUUUCUUAUGGCGCAUGUGUCGCCAGAAGAUCUUUCGCGUAUUCCGGGCUUGGAGGGUACCAGACGUGCCUCCGACUCUGGUGGCGCUGCAGCACCCGCGCCAUUUGCAGCAGCAGCCUCUCCGGCGCCGCCAGCAGAGACUGACAGUCUUCUUCCUGCGUGGGAAGUGCCGCAGCUCUUUGACACCUUCAACGCUGCAGCUGCGCAGACGAAGGUGAACACACUCUUGCCGGAGCACACGCAGUUCCACCACACCGUCGAGGCGGUGUCGCCGAACGCCAGUGAUCCAUCCGCCACGUGCUCAGGUCUUCUCAGCCUGUACGCCGCGCUACCGGCUGGGCUUCGCUUUCCCGCAACGGACGCUCUGCGCUAUAUGCUCACCGCCACCGUUGAUAAGCCCGACAUCGUCGGAGAGACGCUGGCAAAGCUGAACACCGUCUGGGGCUCUAAAGCACCACAACCCCCGCAGCUGCCAACGUCGGCGGCCGAGUGGAUGGUGGCUCUGCGGCUUGCCGCGUCCGUGUUUGGCCGCUUGUGUGACGUGCGUGUGCAAGCGUCGACAUGACUGAAGACGCGCAGGAGAUGCUGGUGUGGUUGACGGCGUCGCUGCCGUCCAUGACGAAGCUGAUCACGAGCGACACGCCCGCUACCAUGCGCACCAACUGCCGAGCUGCUACGGCUGCACUCCUCCGCAACGUGACGGUAGCCCUGUGUUCCCCGGGGUCGAGCCUAGCGACGGCGGGGUUCGCGGGCCUUGCCGAGCGGCUGGCCGUCGCCGUUGUGCAGCAGAGCGCCGUUUUGUUUGUAGUGGAGCGCAACGACUCGCCAGUAGUGCGCGACACUCUACGAUCGCUGCGGUCACUCUUGCUGUACUCCCCACCGUCGCCGACUGCGUGGCGCGCUGCGGUAGUGGCCCAGGUGCUCAAAUCGUUAACGCCCUCACUGAAGGGGAUUGCCACCGGCGCUCGCGUCGAGGGUCAGUCGACGGCUGCGUGGCUGUUGGCUCAAGUCGGCCACCCAAUCGCCUCUUGAAGGAAAGAGGACGAGAGCGAUUCUCGUACACGUGCGUGUGUGCGUGCUCGCGUUUGCGUUGGCGCUCUUUAUGAUGAGUUUGCUCCAUAAUUUGGCCUCCUCCGUUGUUUCCACAUGUGCAGCAAUGUGAGCAAACGCACCCGC
RNAcentral lists this unclassified non-coding RNA (2835 nucleotides) under Leishmania donovani. Its description in RNAcentral is "gene:LdHU3.24.2410(CDS-product:WD_domain_G-beta_r epeat_putative)". The record is from RNAcentral. Lineage: Eukaryota; Euglenozoa; Kinetoplastea; Trypanosomatida; Trypanosomatidae.